Molecule: ribosomal RNA, 650 nt
Filed under: uncultured bacterium
Lineage: Bacteria
Description: bacterial SSU rRNA
Rfam family: Bacterial small subunit ribosomal RNA
Source: RNAcentral
UGCAAGUCGUGCGGAGGUGCUUUUUGGCACCUCAGCGGCAAACGGGUGAGUAACACGUGAGUAACCUGCCCUCAGGAAGGGGAUAACCCUCCGAAAGGGGGGCUAAUACCCUAUAAUGUCAGUCACCACUAAGGUGGCUGACCAAAGGUGGCCUCUGCUCUGCAUGCUACCGCCUGAGGAGGGGCUCGCGGCCCAUCAGGUAGUUGGUGGGGUAACGGCCUACCAAGCCUAUGACGGGUAGCCGGCCUGAGAGGGUGUCCGGCCACAGUGGGACUGAGACACGGCCCACACCCCUACGGGGGGCAGCAGUGGGGAAUCGUGGGCAAUGGGCGAAAGCCUGACCCCGCGACGCCGCGUGGAGGAAGAAGCCCUUCGGGGUGUAAACUCCUGUCAGGGGGGAAGAUGCUCACAGAGGUGAAUAAUCUCUGUGGGUGACGGUACCCCCAGAGGAGGGGACGGCUAACUACGUGCCAGCAGCCGCGGUAAUACGUAGGUCCCGAGCGUUGCGCGAAUUCACUGGGCGUAAAGCGUCCGCAGCCGGAUGGGUAAGCGGUUCGUCAAAGCCCACCGCUCAACGGUGGAAAGGCGUACCGAACUGCCCAUCUUGAGGCACGCUCAGGCAGGCGGAAUUCCCGGUGUAGCGGUGAAAU